Molecule: ribosomal RNA, 455 nt
Filed under: fungal sp.
Lineage: Eukaryota; Fungi
Description: SSU rRNA
Rfam family: Eukaryotic small subunit ribosomal RNA
Source: RNAcentral
UUGAAUUUCGGGAUCAAUUUAUCGGUCGUGCCAAUGGUAUGAACUGGUACAAAUUUGGGUUUCUUCCCCCUUUCCUUGGAACCGGAACGCUAUAAAUUGNNNNGGGUUCGGUUCGGGGGUAAGGACGUUUUAGUUAGAAAAAAUUAGAGUGUUUAAAGCAAGCAUUAGCUUGAAUACAUUAGCAUGGAAUAAUGAAAUAGGACGUUUGAUCCUAUUUCGUUGGUUUCUAGGAUCGACGUAAUGAUUAAUAGGGAUAGUUGGGGGCAUUAGUAUUCAAUUGUCAGAGGUGAAAUUCUUGGAUUUAUUGAAGACUAACUACUGCGAAAGCAUUUGCCAAGGAUGUUUUCAUUAAUCAAGAACGAAAGUUAGGGGAUCGAAGACGAUCAGAUACCGUCGUAGUCUUAACCAUAAACUAUGCCGACUAGGGAUCGGAUGAUGUUAAUUUUUAAUGACUC